Molecule: ribosomal RNA, 301 nt
Filed under: uncultured bacterium
Lineage: Bacteria
Description: partial 16S ribosomal RNA
Rfam family: Bacterial small subunit ribosomal RNA
Source: RNAcentral
CAGUCGCGCGGUAAUACGAAGGGUGCAAGCGUUACUCGGAAUUACUGGGCGUAAAGCGUGCGUAGGUGGUGGUUUAAGUCCGUUGUGAAAGCCCUGGGCUCAACCUGGGAAUUGCAGUGGAUACUGGAUCACUAGAGUGUGGUAGAGGAUAGUGGAGUUACCGGUGUAGCAGUGAAAUGCGUAGAGAUCGGAAGGAACAUCUGUGGCGAAGGCGACUAUCUGGGCCAACACUGACACUGAGGCACGAAAGCGUGGGGAGCAAACAGGAUUAGAUACCCCAGUAGUCCAUGUCUCUUAUACC